GUCGGGGCCCGGCGCUGCGGGACAGUUUGGGGUUGCGGUGCGGCUGGGUGCCGGCGCGGCUCGCUGCCGGCAGGGCCGAGCCUCUGGUUACUGCCGACGCUCGGGUGUCGGAGGGCGUAAAGCCGCGUUCGGGCUCCGGGUGAGGUGGUAGUUUCAGGCUCUCCUGCAGCGCCCGUGUGGCUCGGUAGCAAGGGAACAUGGCUGCUAAGAAGCUGAGAAGAGCAAAGUUGUCUCAGGAGCUGUGUGAAAGACUAAGCCGCUAUCAGAUCACUACCUGUCAGGACUUCUUAUGUCUCUCACUCGUGGAGCUAAUGAAAGUGACAGGACAGAGCUACAGAAAUGUGCAGAAGCUUCUUCGGAAAGUCAGCCUAGCUUGUGCUCCCAAAAUGCAGACAGCUUAUGAAAUGAAAGUGAGAAGGUCUGUCAAUCCCUCUGCAGCCUUUUUACCCACCUCACUGCAUAGUCUGGAUAAAGUCUUGCAUGGUGGAAUACCCUGUGGAUCCCUCACAGAGUUAACAAGCCCACCGGCUUAUGGCAAAACUCAGUUUUGUAUUACAAUGAGUGUUCUGGCUACACUGCCUGUAAGCAUGGGAGGACUAGAUGGGGCUGUUAUUUACAUUGACACAGAAUCUGCAUUCAGUGCUGAAAGGUUGAUAGAGAUAGCAGGAAACAGAUUCCCUACUUAUUUUAACACCGAUGAAAAGCUAUUUUGCAUGACCCGUAGCAUUCAUCUGUAUCGAGAGCUGACCUGUGACAGUGUACUGAAGAGAAUUAAGUCUUUAGAAGAAGAAAUUAUUUCAAAGAAGAUUAAACUCAUAAUAAUUGACUCUGUAGCUUCAGUUGUCAGAAAAGAGUUUGACACAAAACUCCAAGGCAAUCUGGCAGAGAGAAGUAACUUUUUGGCUAGAGGAGCAUCACUGUUGAAGUAUUUGGCAGAGGAGUUCUCAAUACCAGUUAUCUUGACGAAUCAGAUUACCACAUCAUUGAGCAAUGGCCUUGCAAUCCCAGCAGACCUAGUGUCUCCAGCUUAUGAUUUGUCCCUGUCUGAAGAGCAGAGUCUCUUCCAGUGUCACUGGUGGUGCCCUGAAGAGCCCGAUUUCACAGGAGACAGCAGAACAGUUUCAGGAGCUUCUGGAAGCGGGAAGAGGGAAUCUGCUUGUGUGACAGCAGCCCUUGGCAACACAUGGAGUCACAGUGUCAACACCAGGCUCAUUCUGCAAUAUCAUGACUUGCUGACACGGCAGAUCCUGGUUGCAAAAUCCCCUGUUGCUCCAUUUUCCACAUUCUUCUACACCAUUGAGAAAUCAGGCUUUGUUCUUCAAGAGCACGCAUAUUUGUGCGCACAGCCACGCUCACAUUGCCUGUGAUGUCUUAUGAAGGAGGACAAGUUCUCGAGUUGAAACAUGGCACUCUGGGGAGAGUUUUUUUUUAGUUUUUCAGUUUUACAGUACUAAAGAGCAAGAGUUCUAGAAACAGCUAAAUCUCGGGAAACCUUGUUACUUUACAUUGUUUCGUUUGUCACUAAUGUAAUGAAAGAAGCUCAUUUUGGUCUCAAAAUAGCACAGUCUGGGUUUCUAGUGCUGCAUGGCAAACGGUCUCUGAAGUGCUAUAACUAAUUUAUGUGGCUGAAGCAAGUGAAAAGUGCCCCAUUUUAUUUUGUAAAGAAAUGUUUUGGUAAUGAGUAGUGAGGUAGAAAGAGAAUUCUGAAAGAAAGGGCAGCAUUAUUUGUAUUGUAUUGUGUGAGUCUGAACAGUGAGAGACAAUGAUUUACUGCAUCAAAAGCUUUCAUUCAAUUGAAGAACUGUAACUAUAAAGUGACCUUUGUCUGGAACAACAUGGAUAUAAUCUGUAAAAUGAAACAGGGUUGUACUUGAUGUGUGAAUGGAUAGAAGACAGAUUAAUGGGAAUGAAGUUGUGCUUUGCUGUUGAGAUGGUAACAGAUUUGCAGUGCCACUGGUAAUUUCCGGCCCUAUUGGAGGGAUAAAGAUGAACUGAUCAUUGUUAGGAUCUCUGUGGGGUGGAACAGUUUUUGCUGAAUUCCCCACAGGAUACUGAAAGGCUCAUGCUACUUGUAACAGUUUUAUAAUAAUGGGAGCAACAAAGCAUGAUUGGUUUGUAGGCUAGGUCUGUCCUGACAGUAAGGAAUGUGGAAAGAAUAAGGCCCCCAUCAUUCCUAUGCCAGUAAUCACCCAUAUUGAUGCGGCUGACAUAAACAAAAAAAUCCAGUUAGUUCUUGGCAUCCUGGAGAGUGGAUCAUUAAACCUGACCCAAGAAUGCUGGUCACUUAGAUGAGAGCAUCCUUGCUAGGUGACUUUGCAAGAAUUGCUCUGUUGCUCUGCAGCUGCAGUGGUGAAGCCUCACUGGAGUACCCCAGCUCCUUGUCUGUCACAUGAAGGAGUCCAGAGGAACAAAGCACAGAUACAAAAACAAUGAAAAACAGUAAUGAAGAGAGGUGGAGGGAUUUUUUUUAACUGUGAAGGAAGACGAGAGGUAUCUUGGGUUUAGAUCCAGUAGAAACAAAAUAAACCCUGUCAUUUUAGUAAGUUUAAAUGUUUUCCUCUGCAAAAGUGGUCUUUCUAUCUGUGUGGUAGAUAGACAAGAGGUAGUUAAGUUUCUGGCCAAACUUUUUGCUGAGACUGUAACUUACAGGAGGAUGUUAUACUGAAUAAAUCCAGUUUAUCACAAAGUACUGAAGUGUCUCCUUAUUUCUGAAUACAUAUGUAAAGACACUGAAAAUAAUAGUACAGCUCUCUUGCAGUGAAAGCCAAACAUAACCCUAAAUGAUGACAACCAACAUAACAGCAUUUCAUUUUUCUUGUUUUUCUAAACGUAAUAUGAAAAAAGCAAUGUGUCAAAUCCAUUCUCAUUUGCACGAGUGUUAAUCAAAACUAAUUUAUUUUAACCCAGUGUUUAAAAAAAAAAAAAAAGAGUAUGAGUCUCAUUUGCAAAGAUGCAGCCUCUGUUCAAGACUGGCCUGUACUGCAGGCUUCUUGGGACAAAAUGGUCUCACAUCAGAGGAAUCAUUUCCUUACUAGUCUUGCAGUAAUGAAUUCCUGAUCAAAGUGGGUUGCUCCCCUGUGUUUUCGGUGCAGUGCUAAAGCAAAUGGCCUCUUUUCCAAAAGGCUUUUAACAUAAGGAGUGAAUGUGCACGUUGAUUAGAGGUAGUACCUGUGAUUUGUGACAUUAUACUGUUCUGGGAACUGAGUUUUCUCAUAGAAGUCCAAGAUUCUACUAUUGAUUGCCUGCUUUUGACAGAUGAUGUUACAUCUUUCAAGCUACAGAUUUGUAUAAUAAGGACAAAUGCACUUACAGGAGACUUAAUGUUCUUAAGCAAACACAUUUGUGAGUACAAGGCCAAGAAACUGUCUGUCUGAAAACAUGUUUUUCAGCCAGAAUGAAGUCGUAUGUUUUUGUGUGCAACUUAUGAAGGUAAGAGGCAGUUAAUUGUUACUGUGACUGAUCCCUUUCUCACAUAGGCAUAACUAGAUUUCUUUUACAGUUCUCAAAGUUUAUGUCUGUUCUGGCAUUUUGCAUUGCUACUAACAUGCUUCUUGAAGCCACCACUACCUUUAUUUGAUCCUGUAAACUGAUAGUUAAUGAUAGAGGACUAUGUCUAAAUGACUUAGCCUUUGUAGUAUAUACAAUGCUUCUUUUGCUGUGGGACUCGAUGUGUUCUGAGCAUUAAAAUCAGAGUGUACAGUUCAGUUGCCAAAGGGAACUGCUGGAAUCUGUGUCGUUCCUCGUGCUAAGGAGGGGAGAGCGGUGCAAAGAUCCAGCGGUUAGCUCCAGUCUAAACCUGUACGUCUCCACAGUGCUGUGUAGACAGGCACAUUUGAAUAGCACUUCACAGAAAUGGGAAAGCUUUGCCUGAGGGGAGGCUUAUUAGCACAGGGAUAGCGCUUGCAAACAAGGUUCCUGUUGCUUUAGCCCCAGCGCUAUUUGUCUUUGAAAAUUUCUGUGUUUCUAGGAUUAGUACUGUAAGAACAACCUCAGGUAUCUCAGCAUCUGAUGUGUAGAUUUGCCUUGUCUUCAAAACUGGAAUAACCACAGAAUUUAAAUGAUUUUAUCAUGUAGGCUUCAAUCUCUGUUAUGAGAUGAAAAAGGAAUAUAUGGCACUUGAAUGCAGACAGACACAUGUGAUACACCCUUCCAACAAACAGGUUUUUACUUCAAAAGGUUUUUUCUCAUUACAGUCUUUCCCUAAAAUUAAUAACAUUGGGUGGUUUUGUAAAGUGUUUUCUGUUAUAUUUACUUGAACUUCUAAAUAUUUGUCAGCUCCUUUUCUCUACCUUUCCGUGUUCAUAAAAGAUGAAGAUAAAAGGUAAUGUACUAGCUGAGAUUUUGUAACCAUGCAAGUGUUGCUGUUUGUAAAAGGCAAAUCUCCGUAUCAUAAUCAAGCAUGGGCCGUGGAGCAUUGUGGAUACCUAGUAAAAAGCCAAAAAAACCUGCACUAUAGACAUACCCCACUAAAAUAGACUGGACAUUAGUAACAAAGACUUGCAAGAGACAGUACAAUGACAAGCUAUAAAAUAUUAUUUACCUACAGAAUUUGAGUGAUUAAUGUAGUUUACAGUAGGUCUGAGUGUAAUACUAGUUAUAUGGUGUUAGUGAUGGUUAUGGCGUUUCUUCUCAUUGUUAGUGUUGUGAUGAAAUCAAAAUCUGGCCCUUUGUCAUUCAGUUCUGUGAAGACCCUUGAAAAAUUUGAGAGAUCAAGUUUCAGGACUGGAUUGAGUUAACCAAGGGCUAGAGAGAGAAGAGAGAGAACGGUUUGUUGGAGCAUAGUGGGUUUGUUAGAGCAUGGUGUCAGCCCUGGCCCUCCUUUGUUUGCUGCCUGAAUAACUCUCCAGGAUCUGCCUGAGGUGUAGCCAGCCAAGGCAAGUUAGAGCACGUGUUGCUGCGUGAGUGAAGAGGCAACACAGCAAGGUUAUGCUAGAAUUUACGGUUUAUCAAGAGAUGUGUCUGAGACUGGUAAGGAAUAUUUCAAGUCAACAUGAGGCAAUCAACAUGCUGAAAAGAUUUUGCUAUACUUUCCAGUGGAUCUGACUUUAUUUUGACUUCCUAGUUUUUCCAUUACAGAAACAAUAUCUUGUAUUAGUCCGAAGCCCUGUGAAGGUGCACUCCCCAGAAGCAGCAGCAGAGAUGUGGGGAGUGACGUUUCUAAAAUAUGUGCCGUGACUGUAAGAGCACUCUCAAAGCUGUCUGUGAUAGAGGGACCGCUCAGUGCCGUGUGCCAUUCUGGAAACUGCAGCUGCAGGAUGUGCAUUGCUGAGUGAGUAAGCUUAGAAUAGGCUUCUGUCCUAGAAGUCUGGUGUCCUGAGUCCAGACUUUGCACUCCUGUAGAUGUUCUUAGUUCUUUUGCUUAGCAGCGUAUAGAAAACAUCACUUUCUUCCCUUAGGCUGCAUGCAUUUAAUGAAGGAAUUCAGUCCUGAAGCAUGUCAGGUUGGAACUGUGUACUGCAACUAAGUCAGUUUUCAAUGAGAAAUACCCUUCUUUGGACUUCUUAAUUCCAUAUUUUUGCAAAGAGUGAAUUACCCAGAGCAAGCUAUGGGUCAGCCAGCCAUGUAUGUUGUAGCUACUUGUUUGUAGACUGUAUCCUGUCUGCCCUGAUCAUUUGCUGGGGUUCACCCAAGAGCAGCACAUCCUGUUUGUUUCGUUUUCUUUUGUCUGCCCUGUACCAGCACAGGGAGAAUAUUCCUAUAUAUCUUUUCUUUGCUGCUCUGCAAUUGGAUCACAGUACUCAUGAUUGUGUUCAAUAGCUGGAAAUGCUGAGGAUAUCCGAUUGCUGAGAUCUCUUAUUUUAAACUCCAUAUGCCAGGAAAAGUAUGUGGGAUCCCACCAGCUUAGCACUGGAGGGUGCAGGAUGCACCAACAGGAAAACCAAACAAAACAUGAAGUGAAAUUCAUUUGGAAAGGGAAGGGACACAUAUACCACCCAUCAGCAAUGUUUAAACUAUUCGUGUCCACACAAUAGGCCUUUUAUUUUCCUUGAGUUCUACUAAAGAUGCAAACUAUCUUGACUUGAUUUUUAGAGGGGCAGUUGUCACUAAAGUCAGUGGGAGCUGCAGGUGCUUGUUACCUUUGAAAAUCAAGCCAGCAUAUUCUAAUGAGACAGCAAAAGCCAAAACUGCUAAAUGGGAGUGGUUGAACUGUAACUCUUAGUCCUGUAACGUGAUUCCCAGCCACCUUCAUAUGUGAUACAGAGGCACAGCCUCAUGCUGUGUACACCAGAGCCCAGAGGUGAAUUGCUUUUUCUCUGCCCUUGGGCCCUCUCCUUCUGCAAAGUGUGGCCUGAAUUUAACAGAGCUAACUUGUGUUCAUCCAGAAUACUUCAGUUUCCCUGUGAAACGUGUGCUCUGCAUUUUUCUCCUCAACAGAGACUAGACAGUACUGGGGAGUGGUCGGUUCCCAUACAGACAUGUAGCCUCCUGCCCACCAUAACCACAGAGUGCUCUUGCAGCCACCUCAAGCAAAGCUGGAUUUUCACUUUGAAGUUUUUUGUGCCCUGGGAGAAGUUCCUAAGCAGCAGCCACAAGCCAGAGCAAGGCCACAUCUCUGCUCUGUGAAACAAACUGAAUUUUGCUGUCAAGUCCGAGAGUGAGGGGAGAAGGGCAGCACUCCAGCUGGGCCCAGCUGCCAGAGCUCAGCAAGGACACUGCUCAUUACCGCAGCACUCAAGGGCACAGGAAAUUCAGUGUACAAAUGCAGUCUGCAGAGGGGGUAAAUAAGCUUACCCACCUGAGGGCUGCAGCUGACAGCCAGGCACUGACUGAGGCCAGCUUGCCUCACGCUCUUUCAGCCUGUAUCUUCUACAGGCUACAGAUCUUUGCGGGAUGAGACCUAGCUGAGGAUGAAACUGUCUGCCCCUCGAAGCUGGCACAUCUUGCGAAGCCAAAACUAGGUCUAAAUGAUGGCAUAUGUCCAGGAAAUGGUUUAUAUUGUUGCCUUUGUCUUUGUGGUUAUUAUGCGACAGCUGACACCUGUAUGUGCUUUGGGUUGGGGUAGGGCUUUGGAGCAGUUUCACAGUCUGAGCAAAGGCAAGAGGGAACCUAUUUUUUGUUCAAAGUGUGUUUUCCUGGGUGAUCCAUGUAAAUAGCCUAAUUACUGUAUGCUUCAGUUUACCUGUCUGUAAAUAAAUGGUAAUACCUUCUGUCCAGGUUUCUAUAACUGUCAUUAGAGAAACAACAACUCAUCUCUAAUAUAAGCAAAUGUACACUUCAGUAUGGCUUGGCAAGUGGCUAGCAGGAAUGAAACCCAUGUAUUAGUCUAGCUGUUGAGAGCUAGGUGGCACUUGCAGAUGUUGCUGUGUUCAGAGGAUUUAACCAAGGUUAACUUUUGUAAGCAGUGCAGUGUAUUGUGGCAGGAGAAGGCCAGAGGGUCAGAAACUGGCUGGCAGCUGAUUGCCUGUGAAAUUGUCUUACUUCCUUCUAAAUUAGGCAAAAGGAGGGGAUGGUGAACCAAGACUUUCUUUUCCUUUUGUCUGGACCAGAAUAGAUUGGUGAAAAGUCAGUCUGAGCAUUUCAGGAGCUGGAGCUGAAAUCUUCUUGGCUUUGCCUGGGUUGAUUGUCCAGAGAGGACUGCAAAGUUGCUAUAAAAUUUGUUCAUUGAUCCUUCCCAAAGUAUGAAGAGUAAGUGAUAAUUUAGUCAUUUGUCCAAAAUGAUUACUUGUCCAAGAAGAAUAAAAUGUGCAGGAGUGCGCGAAUGAUAAACCUGAGUAGUGGAUAUGGCAGGAAAAGGUCUACUGCUAAUGCUGGUUUCAAGAAGUGUGAUCAGAUGCCUGGAUAUUUUCAA
This is an RNA transcript of Numida meleagris (helmeted guineafowl), 7789 nucleotides long. It is a transcript of the gene named RAD51 paralog B, with no coding region annotated. The transcript has 13 exons. The record is from RefSeq and is a predicted model, not a curated record. Lineage: Eukaryota; Metazoa; Chordata; Aves; Galliformes; Numididae.